Molecule: long non-coding RNA, 773 nt
Filed under: Vulpes vulpes (red fox)
Lineage: Eukaryota; Metazoa; Chordata; Mammalia; Carnivora; Canidae
Description: lncRNA (ENSVVUG00000026402.1)
Source: RNAcentral
CAGAGACACAGGCAGAGGGAGAAGCAGGCUCCAUGCAGGGAGCCCGACAUGGGACUUGAUCCCGGGUCUCCAGGAUCACACCCUGGGUGGAAGGCGGCGCUAAACCACUGAGCCACCCAGGCUCCCUUUUAUUAUUAUUUUUUUAUUUUUUAUUUUUUUUUCAGGAUCUGUCUUAAUGGAGUUUGGUGCUCCCAUUGGAAUGUGCAUCCAGUGCUGGAAUGAGGCACUCUGCUCUUGGCUCACUGUCCUCUGGGAAAGCAGGAACCGUCCUCUCCACUGAGACCUGAAAUGUCAACAUGAUGGGCAGAUUGGGAUGAAGCUGGGCUCCUGGCAACCAGUAGCUGCAACAGAACAAAAUAACUUCAGAAGAAGUUACUGAGCUUGAUAUUCAGCUGAGAGAGAUGGCACUGUGUCAAUGCUGAGCAGCAGACUGAAUCCAGUACAUACAAGUUCUGAAGUUGGACUCCAAGAAGCCAUACAUGUGAAGCAGGCUCAAGCAUUUUAGUGGUGUUGGUCAAAAAACUAAACUCAAUAACUUCAUUUUACCCUAUGGAAGGACCUGCAGUUCUUUUAUACUCAGAACCACCAGAGUGAGCUCUGGUGUCAGAAGAGGGAACUGAAGGAGAUCCCCUGGUGGCCCCCUGAAGUGCUCCGUCAAUCUGUGCAAAUGUGUGUUUUGUGGAGUUAUCUUACUCCAGACCAGAUGUUCUUGGCUGAACUUCAGGACAUCCUGAUUCUGUUUACAGGUGAGGAAGGCCCAAAGUCUAGUGCCC